UCGCAAAUGAUAAUCUUUUAAUAGAACCGACAGAAUACUAAUAAGGGUCUUCGAAAUGACGAAGUCUGGCUUUUUGCAGGGUAUACUUUAUACGUAUAUACCAAUAAUUUCUCGAGUUGCAACUAAUCACAUUUAAGAAGUUAUUAAACUUUAAAUUUGCAAGUGAGUUUUAAAGCAUAAGAGUGACUAACAUGAAGAACAAGCAGCUAAACAAAUUUCAGCACAACAACUUCCAAAGCAUUCACACAAGGAGCUUAACCAAGAGCAACCAUCAUCGGCACAACAACAACAUUCGCAGCAGCAAGCAGUGACACAUGCGCCAACCGACUCGCCUAUACAAAUGUUACAACUGCAAAUGUAUAUUUUUUUUAAAGAAAAAACUAAAAGGAAUCUUAGUGAAAAUAAUUAGAUGAAAAAUAAAUACAUAUAUACCAAUAAAUUCUUGAGUUGACGUGUUCAGUUUUUUCCACUGACAUUUGUUGCAUUACUGGCGCCGCCAUUGUUUUGUUCAAAGUGUCAAAUUCGUGAAUUCAGAGCCAGAGCCACUCUAAAAUAUCAAAACUUAAAAGUGAAUAUAGUAAUAAAUAAAUUUACAUAAUUAUAAAGUUAGAUGUUAAUUUUUUGAUAUAUUAUUCUCUAUUCUACAAAAUGGUCUUAUUUGUCAAUGUUUUUGUUUCAAAUCGACACUGGCUGAUCUAUUUAAAGGGCAGAAUAGGCCGUGCUUAUGUUGAACUUUUUUUUAUAUAUGUAUAGGAAUAGGGGCAAAAAUAAAAUUUAAUAAACUUAAGGGACAGAUUUAUGAAAAAGUUAAAUUUAACGGGUAAAAAAAUAUUUUAAACUACUACUAUAAAAAAAACUCAACCCACGGUAUAUAAUUUAUUCAAACUUUUCUCUCUAAUCUUCAACUUUUUACUUCAGUUUUCAGCCCAAAAAAAUCUGCCUCGGCUGGAAACAGAUCCUAGAUCUAGACCUAGACCCUGCAAACAUUAUUCAAAUUUUGAUUUUAAGCGUAAACAUAGAACAAAAAUAUACACUUUAUAUAUAUAAAUUGUAUAAAUGAGAUUGCUUUUGCAAAACGAAAAACUAUUUAUUAAAACUUGAAAGUAUAAUAUAACCUCUAAAAGACGAUGUGAAUCUUAACUGGAGCAAAGAAACAAAGUUGCUCUGUCUCGGUUAGUAGGAAGCCUAAAAAUCACCACUUCUGCUGCCGGAGCGGCGAGAACUCGCAGGAAUCUGACUUGAAACGCCGGAAACUGACUAUAACGCCAGAAUCUUACCCUAAACUCGACCUUUUCUUUUCUUUCCGAUUACCCAAAUCGGAAUUUCAUCCACAUAGUCCUUAUCUUUCAUCUACAAUCCCAUUUUCCCAUCUUUUCUUACUGAACUUUAGCACAUAUGAACUACUUUAUUGGAUUUAAUUGAAUUUCAUUUGGGAGUAGCAGACUCGUGUAGUGAUAAAGAUGAGACCUACUCAUUUAAUAUGGAUAACAAAAGCAUUCAACGUGUAAUAUUUAAUAUUUUGCCAGCAG
This 1529-nucleotide long non-coding RNA is filed under the name Panax ginseng (ginseng). RNAcentral's name for it is "long non-coding RNA (PGIN_LNC016710)". Lineage: Eukaryota; Viridiplantae; Streptophyta; Magnoliopsida; Apiales; Araliaceae. The record is from RNAcentral.